AAUACGUAGGGUGCGAGCGUUGUCCGGAAUUAUUGGGCGUAAAGGGCUCGUAGGCGGUUUGUCACGUCGGGAGUGAAAACUCGGGGCUUAACCCCGAGCCUGCUUCCGAUACGGGCUGACUAGAGGUAUGCAGGGGAGAACGGAAUUCCUGGUGUAGCGGUGAAAUGCGCAGAUAUCAGGAGGAACACCGGUGGCGAAGGCGGUUCUCUGGGCAUUACCUGACGCUGAGGAGCGAAAGUGUGGGGAGCGAACAGGA
Molecule: ribosomal RNA, 256 nt
Filed under: uncultured prokaryote
Description: partial 16S ribosomal RNA
Rfam family: Bacterial small subunit ribosomal RNA
Source: RNAcentral